This 2356-nucleotide long non-coding RNA is filed under the name Corvus moneduloides (New Caledonian crow). Its description in RNAcentral is "lncRNA (ENSCMUG00000016962.1)". Lineage: Eukaryota; Metazoa; Chordata; Aves; Passeriformes; Corvidae. The record is from RNAcentral.
AUGGCCCUGCCCGUCGUACACAGGUGCCUCCAACUCAGUGAUGAAAAUGAGCAGUUAGUCAAGAAGGUGAAAAAACUACACAUAAAAAAUAAGGAGCUAGAAAAGAAUCUGUGUCAGAUCCAAGAACAACUGCAUCUGCAGCGGUUAACGCCUGUCUGUGGCACAAGCAGAGAUGUUCAGGUUCAAACAGAAACCUGUUUAUGGCAUAAAGGCGGAGACAGCAAGGAUCUGGUUCUAGAGAGUGACAGUGUCAGACUCCUUCAGAUGUAUAAUGAGCUACAGAAACGUUAUGUUAAAGAAACCAAAACAAACAAGGAGCAAAGCGAAGCAAUUAAAAAUCUCACUAUUAAAAUUAAUGAGCUAGAGCAUAAUCUUCAAGAGCAGAGGCAAAGAAUUGAGCAACUGGAACGCAAAAAGGUUUCUUGGAAAACUAGUGCUGUUUCUGGAAAAAGAAGUCAAACCCCAGAGGGAGGAGUAACUUCUCACAGGGACAUUUCUGAAAAGAAGGAAUCCUGUUGCAGUAGAUAUUUAGAGCUAUUGUUGAAGGAGAUUAAAAAGCUGAAGAAAGAAAAUGGAAAGUUGUCUGCAGAAAAGAGAGCACUAAAAAAUGAGUUAGCUGGAUUAGACAAGGGUUUUUUUGAAGAGGUAGAAGAUCUAAAGCACGCUGUACAGGAAUCUGUGAAACUGAACAAUGAGUAUGAAAAGUGCUUGAAACAAAUAAGUGUAAUAUAUGGACUACCUUUUACAGCACAUUUGUAACUACUGGGUAAUUUAAUGCCAAGUAGAGUGUCCACAUAUUUUUUAUACUUACUGUAGCAUUUAAAGUGGUACCACAGUUUGAUAAUGUUGUAGAUUCAGUAAUGGGAUCUCAAUAUGACAAGUGCUCAGAAAUGUUGUACUUUGUGACCUUGAUUUUUUUUGUUUAUAUGUUUCUAAAUAAACUGUGAUCUGCAUAACUUCAACUAAGUUUCAAACCCAUCUCUUUCACACUUGCAGAAUAUACUGUGAUUGUGCAUGUUUAUGGGAAUAUAAUAAAAUUGUUUUAUUUUGAAGAGCUUCCCAAUUUAUCCUUUUCUGUAAGCUACAGAACGAAAUCAAAGUAUCUGUGUAGAUUUGGCAGUCUUCAUGGAUUUCAGCCCUAAGGAUGUGCUAAUGCAAACAGAAAUUAAAUCUAUCAUUAAAUUAUUGCAAAGGGGUUUCUUAAAAAUGCUAAAUCUCUGCUUGGAUUUUUUCUUCAAUCACAAUAAUAGUGAAAAAUUGUGGAUGAAGGAAGGAUUUAGUGCUCAGAAUUGGAAAGUGUAUUCAUAAAGAUGGGUCAGAGAGUUUUGCAUCAUCAAAAGAAGAAUUCAUCAGAAGCUCUUAUUUGGUUCAAGAGUGAGGUACUUGAAGAACUCUGGUAUUUGAAGAGCUGAAAAGUGGGAGUGCAGAAAAUCAGAGUCCACAAGGCAGAAAUGUCGUGUUGCUUCAGGGAGGGUGAGCUUGGAAUGAGAAGAGACAACUCCCAGUUGCAAGUGUAGCUUGCAGAACCUUGUGGGAUUUGAACCUGAACUUGUUUGUAAGGACAUUCCACAAAAGUUUAACAUAGUUACAUUAUAGAACUAUAUUUUUCUGAAAGUUGUAAAUCUCUACCUUUGUGACAUUGUGAUGGGAGAGUUGAGUGAAAACUCCUUAGGGUAGAAACACUAAGCUUGCUUAUAACCUGAUACAGCUUCUUUAGCUUCAUAAAAAUACAUGCACACUCCUGAGGGAUAGGACUAGGAGCAGGAUUAAGACUCUCAUAUCCUACUGGUUUUCUUAAGACAGUUUUAUGUAGGUGUAAUUUAAUAAAGAAAUUUGCCUCAAAGCAUGUGAGGUGUUCAGAGUUGCAUAUUCACUAGGCAAUAGGGAGGGGAAAGCUCCAGAACUCCAUGUUCCUGCUCUGGCUAUAGACCGCUGUGUGCCCUUGUUUCAUUCUUGGCUCACUUGCAAAUUAAAGCUGGAUAAUGUCCUGAACAAGAGAUGGAAAAGGGAACCAGAAAAGGAGUGAUGCAAGUCUGCAUUGCCAGUAAACUUGAUGGAAGAAAAACAGGAGGAUAGCAUGUGUAACAGAAAAAUUUUAGUGCAAAAAUGCUUGUAACAUUCGUUAAUAAGUAAAACAAACACGAAUCCUGGAGAAGAAAGCAGUGCCAGUCACUGGAGCCUUUUCCCCCACAGUGUUGUGGUACAAAGCUACACUUUUAGCGUGUUUAAACUUUGGCCCCGUUGUUAAAUGAUCCAGUAAUUGUGCUCGUCCAUAGGCUGAUUUUUAAAUGUUGGGCAGAACAAGAAACAGUGAGAAGUCCUUCAGUCUUUUUUCAUAACUAAGGUCUUCCAGCUC